RNAcentral lists this ribosomal RNA (517 nucleotides) under Uroteuthis duvaucelii. RNAcentral describes it as "partial large subunit ribosomal RNA". The stretch from base 1 to 161 matches the Rfam family "Bacterial large subunit ribosomal RNA", at positions 1807 to 2024 of the family's 2925-position model. The record is from RNAcentral. Lineage: Eukaryota; Metazoa; Mollusca; Cephalopoda; Myopsida; Loliginidae.
CCAAAAACAUCUCUCUUUGUUAAUAAUAAAUAAGGAGUUGGGCCUGCUCGGUGAAUAUUUUUUAACAGCUGCGGUAUUUUAACUGUACUAAGGUAGCAUAAUAAUUUGCCUUAUAAUUUGAGGCUAGAAUGAAUGGUUUGACGAAGGUUAAUCUGUCUCCGUUUUAUUUUUUAGAAAUUAAUUUUCAUAGUGAAAAAGCUUGAAUUUUUUAAAGGGACGAGAAGACCCUAUUGAGCUUAUAAUUUUAUUACUAUUAUGUUUGUUAAAUUCAUCAUUGUAGUAUAUAAAUUUUAAUUGGGGUGAUUAAGGAAUAAGUUUUUUAUAAUAUAACUUCCUUAGAUUAAUAUAUUGUUAGAUUAAGUAACCGAUGUGAUUAACAUAAUGUAUGUUAUGUAUUGCUUAUAAUAUAGUUACCAUAGGGAUAACGAGCGUAAUUUACUUAGAGAGUUCUUAUUGGAAUAAGUAAGAUUGCGAACCUCGAUGUUGGGAUUAAAAGUAAACCUUAAAGGUGCAGGAA